CUAUGGAAUCAUUGACACUUAUGAUGGACCCCAGGACGAACUAAAAGGGCUCCAAUGUCAAAACGGAGAUCCAACUAAAAAUGGCUCCAAAGCGCCCCCCACGAAAUUUCAAACGGUAAGCCUUGCUUCUGUAUGUGACCCAAACCUAUAGAAUCAAUAACACUUGUUCUGGACACCAAGACGAACAAAAGAGGGAGGCGGUCCACAGAUGUGGCGUCAUGGCAAAGCUCAGGCCCGUUGGUGCCAUGUGGAGGGCUUGUUGGUUUUGAAUUUGUAGAAAAGUUUAAGGGUCUUGCUUGUGUCUACUUAUAAAAGAAAGCGAAAGAAAAGAAAGGACGAAAUAGACAAAAAUGUUCAAGGUCCCCUAUUAUGAAAAAUCCACAUUUGGGUGGUUUCCCCUCGAAGCUGACAACCCCUCAACAUGAAAAAAUUUCAUUCUUUCCCUCUCUUGCUUUCCUCUCCUCUCUGAAAACAUGAGCGCAAACAGGUGUAUGGAAAAGCUGUGCGGUUAUGUCGAUAUAAUCGCAUUAUCCCCCCUACAUGUUAGAGGCAGCACCCCGAUAAUUGUUAGCCCAGCCCUAUAAAACUUCUUUGCUGAGGUAGUGUCUGCCAUUUUUCCCCUUGCAUGCGCCGAUCCGGUACAGCAACCACCCCGAAGCUAUGAUCCAGCCACUGUGUGGUUCUUGGCUGCACAAAUGAAGACAAGAGUCUAUUUCUGCCCCCUUUAACGUAAGAUUUGAGGACCCAGUGAAUUGAUUUUAUUUUUAAUGAAAAUGUACCCGCAACAACUCUAAAAAAUGUUGUAUGUGUGUGCUAACCAUUUCACCAUGGACUGCUUUACCAAUGAGGGGCAGAUUAAAGCAGGAUUCGCUAAGAAGCUGAAGAUAAAACCUUGAUCAGUACCAACUGUCCGUGUCAGGAACCCAACUUCAAACGUGGAAGCUGUACGUUCUACCAUUUUAUGUUGUUUGACCGCCUGUAUAACUAGUGCUUUGGCUGCAAUCACGUGUGUUUACCAUCGUUGGUAUUCAUUGUUGGUUUCAUUUCUAUUUACUUUUAUUCCUGUGAGCAGCAGGUGUUCCUCGGGGGUGCGGAGGCAAGUUGGUGCCACAGUGGGCUGGAGGCCCUCUGAAGAGGUCCUCAGAAGAGCUCCAGACCACCGCUCCUGGACCACUGUGGCGGUGGGUACAGGCUGGCUGAUAUCCACAAAUAAACUGGUGUUUUAGACAACAAACAUCAAAUUUACUCGUGUGCGAUCUCUAGGAUCGAUUUAAACUUGAUGAAAAAUGCCAUAAUAGGAGACCUUUAAGGAAACAGAAAAGCUGAUGGCAAAAGUAAAUGCACCCUUCUUACAUACGGCCCAAGGAAAGAGUCCCCCACCUUAUGAGAGAGAGUUAAAGUUCACUGAUGUUUAUCCUCAGCUCCCAGUAAUUAAACAGGAGGGUAACUAUCACAUCAAAGAUGAAGAAUAGAGAAUAAUAGAGACAGGAAAUGCUAAAACAACUGUAAAGAUGUACCGAAGUAAUAAAAGUAAAAAGAAAGCAGGACGUCCAGCAAGUAGCAGUCAACAAAGAUUUAAAAAAAUAGAAAUGGGAGAUGAAAGUCAGAGUGAUGUGGGUGAGGCCAUUGGAGGUUAUGACCCAGCAGUUAGAUGGGUAUUAGCCAAAGCAGGGAAAAUAGGAGAAAAAUCACAGAGGAAAAAAGAAACUAGUAAGGGACACCACUGAGGAGAGUGAAAAUGAGGAUAGAGAAGAAGAUUCAGAAAGUGAGGGACCUUCAUAUUCCACCCUGUUAGUGUCCAGUUCUGAAUCUGCUUAUGAGAGACAGAGGGCUUUAGUAAAAAAGAUUGAGGGAAGUAUAAAUAGAUGUCUUACAGACAUGAAUAAAUCUACCAGUCCAGAAAGCCACGAAGAAGAAAAAGUCAGAAAGUUAGACACUUCACAAUAUGCAUUACGCCCAAGAAAAGAGGAUAAGCCAUCUGAUAAAAUGUGUCCAGUAGUUGUCCAAUCAAAGAAUUUAGAGUAUAAGCCUUUGCAGAGGACAGAUAUGUCAGAUAUCCUUGAAAAGUUACCUACUCCUCAGAAUGGAACACAUCCUUGAAAUCCAAAGUUGGAAGAAGAUAUGGUGAGAUGGCAGCUGGCCAUGAGAGAUAUUAAGAGAUUCUUAGCUAGCCUCUUAGGGGUUCCAGUUAUGGAAGAGAUCUGGCAGAGAGCAGGACUUAAUCGAUAUGCGGGGACUGCUGUGAAUGAUCCAGAGCUGUUUGCUGUUAGUAGAGCUCGGAUGUGGAGAACAUUGAGAGAUACAUUUCCAACAAAUGUACAUCCUGAUAAUAUUUUCAUCGAACCACUGGGGCUAUAGGAGAGUGCAAGAGCUUAUGCAUCUCAGGGCUCUAUUUUCGUGCCUCGCCGGAGACGUGCCGCAGGCGCGGCGUAAGUCAGGUCCGCCGCGCCGACAAGGUGUUCUCAAGCACAUUUUGGUAUUUUGGUGAGCGGCGCAGCCCGGCGUAAGUAUCCCCCCUCUCUAACUCAGCUCCUCCCAGCGGCGCAAGUCGUAAGGAGGGAAGAGAGAGGGCGUGGAGUGGGUUUAACACAGCCGAGACCGGUAUUGACCAAUAACAUAAGCUCCUCUCCUCGCCUUUAAAUCCGCAACCGGCGAGGCGUAUUACUAUUUUCAUGCAGUACUCAAAGUGAUCAAGAGAUGUGUAAAGAAAGCAAUGCCACACGAUGGCGACAGAAGGCAGCCCCUCAACAAGUGUCACUGUAAGCGCUGCAUUGGGCAUCCUCCACACUCUCUCAUAUGAGCACAGAUGGAUUUGGUGUGUGUAAUGUUGGACCCACUGGUAAGACAAACACCCUUUUCCACAAAUAAAGACACUCACAUAAAGUUGCAUAUAUUCAAACCUCACGUGACAAAGGUGGGUUGUGCGCACAGAUCACAACAUAAAUUCCAAUAAUGGCAUUAAAAUCGGAACCAUCUGUGCGUAAAUGACGCAUCGCGCUCCGUGGCCUGGCUCUUUCUUUCAUAGAUGUCGGCAUAUAAAAUAAAUUUGCCUCACAAAACUGAAUAUUAUAAUAUUCGUAUGUAGGCUUAAAGUAAAUAACUCAUCUGAUCACUGAAACAAAUCAUCUGUUCAGCCGCAGCUGCAGCAGGACGGAGAGAGGACACGGAGACAUGUCCAGGUCGAGCUGCACGAGAAAUAAGAGUAAGAGGAAGAAAGAAAAGGAGGGAGACAAAUUACAUAUCUUGUUAACUUCAUCAUGUGUGUUUAUUUACUAGAUAUUUAAUUUAAUUUAAUGCGGUUUCAGCUGUGCUGAUUCGGUCAGGUUGUGUGUCCAAAUGCGUGCCAAACGCGCUCAUCAGAUCAGAUAUAGAUCAGAAUAUAUCUUUAUAGAUCUAAAUGUAUGUGCUGACUCAGAUUAUUAGUUGUUGAUGAUUAUUUAUUGCACUGAAAUGUUCCUGACACUGUGGAAACCUGCCGUUGAGGCAUCUGUGAUGUAUGCCGAUACGCCGCCGGUCUACCAAAAUACCUCUAGACCAGCUGCGCUCCGCCUGCGGGUUUGAAUCAGCGAGCUUUCAGCGCACUUUACAGGCCACUGGCGAGCACAAAAAUGUCACUGCGCCCGCUGAUUCUGUCAACACCUCCCCCUGCCACGCCACCACGCCCAGCUUGGCGGAUCUCGGUUCGCAUCCGUGCGCCUCAGUCCACAAAAAUACCAAACUGGCUGUACGCCGGGCUCCACCAGACGAAAAUACAACUGCGUGGGGACCGCCACCCUCCGCUGCCUCACCGGCGUCCACGAAAAUAGAGCCCAAAGACUCAUCAAGUGUGGAGAAAUGUGUCAGGAAAUGAUCCAGAUAUGCACCAAAUGGAACAGUCCAUUUUGUGAGCUAAAACACAAAAAGGCUAAAUUGGCAGAGGUGGUUGGUCUUGUUAGUAUGACAAAAGGUGCAAACUCAGACAAUAUAUCACAUCAAGUAGAGGUAUAAAGGAAGAAAGAAGAGGGUCAGAGAGAGAGCAGGAUCAAGAGACUCUAAGGAAACUUAACCAAACACAGUUGUAGAUGGUUAGGAAGAGAAGAAACAUGUUGUCAGUCUCAGUCCAAUCAAUCACAAUCACAACCACAGCAGGAGCAGAUUCAGUGUCAACCCAAAGUUCUUUUGGUCACUUAUGAAGUGGACUGAGAAGAUAAAAUCGUUCUCAUAGAUGUGGUUUCAAUACAAGAAGCUGCUUCUUCAAUGGAUAAGCAAUUGUGGCUUGACUGAGGAGCCACUCAAGAUUCUACAGGUUUGUGGCAGAGUCAUGAAGAGUUGAUGGAGGCAACCUCAGACCUGGUUGGUGUCAUGAUUCUGGACAAAUAUAAGUUAGGCCAUGUUGCAAAGGGGAAAGUUAGGAGAAAACUCACAAAAGAGUAUGGUUUUUAGGCACUGUACCUGUUUGAGCAAAUUAAUUAUGUAAUAUGAAGAUGCACAAUCUGUCUGAAAAACAAUGAUCGGAGGGUACAAUUAAAAAUGUUUUGUUAAGAUUUGCGAGCACAUAGGUUUAAAUUGAAUAAAUUGAAAUGGUGUUAAAAUAUAACAAUGAAAUUACUGCAUAACAAUAUGUUGUACAAAAGUUUGUUUUUGCAAGAUACUGCUAGGUUGUUGUUGUUUUUUUGUUUUUUUUCCAUUCCCAGGACAACACUAGGGUAGACCAGCUAGAGAAAGGCUGUUCUUCAGAGAUCAAUACAACUUAAAUGGACUCUUAUACUCCACUAUGAACAAUCAAACAUGGAAAAUGAAACCAGAUAGGACAUUGUUUAUGAUAUUCUGAUAUGGAAUAAUAUUGGUAGUACAUUGAACUAGUAGCUAAUGCUGCUGAGGAGCAACAGUUUGGAAUGUUAUUGUAAUUUUUUUUUAUUAUUGGAGUUCAUUUCCUUUCCAUCCAGGAUAACCCCCACCACCCUCUCCACAGCACCAUCUCCAGCCAGAGGAGCUCCUUCAGUGACGGGCUGUUAUCAGUGCCGUCCCGCACUGCCAGAUUGAGG
Molecule: long non-coding RNA, 5024 nt
Filed under: Xyrichtys novacula (pearly razorfish)
Lineage: Eukaryota; Metazoa; Chordata; Actinopteri; Labriformes; Labridae
Source: RNAcentral